GUUAAAAAAGUAGUGUAAAGGUGACAGGGAGUGAUGGAGCUGAGGGGGUUGUUGUUUUAGGUAGAUUGGUUAGAGAAAGCCUCAAUAAUGCAAUAAACCUGAAACCUGAAGGGAAUUAGGGAAUGAGAUAGGGGGACAUCUGGAGAACACUGCUCCCGCAGAGGGAAGGGAAAUGCAAAAGCCCUGAGGAAGGAGUAGACGUCUUGUGUUUGAGAACCAGAAAGAAGACCAGAGAGACACGGUAGAAAAUGAGUUCCUGUAGUGGCUGGUGUGCUAUGAGAUUUGCAUGAUGGAAGAACUGAUUGAAGAGCAAGCAGCAACGAGUUGGCACUUAGGGCAAGAACUUAGGGCAGUUUUACAAUGAAAAAGAAUGCUCCCCAGCAGGAAAACUGAAAAGAACUUAAGGCAAUGAUCUCAUUAAAAUUUCCAAAGUCAGCUCUGGAGUUCAAGCUUUCUCAAAGAUCAAUGCAGACUUCACUUACCGUUGGGUUUUGCUGAUCCAUCCUUCAAGAAGCUAAUUUAAAUUUCUCCCUGCUAGGUAAUAUGAUCUCCAAUGUAUGACCUUCUAAUUCUGUUGAAGAAAAGGAGACUGAAGUUGUAAAAAUAAUUUCAACUCAAACUCCUUGGAUCCAACUCACAUAAUUAAUUUAACAGUAGCUCAAGGUUUCUUUUUUCCUUAAACCACUCUUUCUUUUUCCUAAUUGCCUAAUUUUCUAAUAGGCAUUGGAAUCUUCCAUUUGAGUCCUCUCAGAGCCUGAUUUCAUCUAUGUCAGAACAUUGGAGACUAGAAAAUUGGAUUGCAUAUUAAACUUAUUCUACUUUAAAGCUUCUUGAAUUUGGUUCCUAUUGGAUAUUAGAUUCCUUUAGUAGCUAAGAAACCAUGGCGACGACAGUACAGUAUGCUUUGAUAUAAUCAAAAAGGAUUUGUGUCUCCAUCCUUAGGCAUUAUAAAACAUUCCUCUCUGAAAUAAAAUUGUAUAUCUGGAGCAUA
Molecule: long non-coding RNA, 991 nt
Organism: Equus caballus (horse)
Lineage: Eukaryota; Metazoa; Chordata; Mammalia; Perissodactyla; Equidae
Source: RefSeq, a predicted model, not a curated record